Molecule: ribosomal RNA, 422 nt
Filed under: uncultured bacterium
Lineage: Bacteria
Description: bacterial SSU rRNA
Rfam family: Bacterial small subunit ribosomal RNA
Source: RNAcentral
UGAGGAAUAUUGGUCAAUGGACGAGAGUCUGGACCAGCCAUGCCGCGUGAAGGAUGAAGGCGUUCUGCGUUGUAAACUUCUUUUGCGGGGGAAGAAACCUUGAUAUUCUUAUCAAGCCGACGGUACCCCGAGAAUAAGCACCGGCUAACUCCGUGCCAGCAGCCGCGGUAAUACGGAGGGUGCAAGCGUUAUCCGGAUUUACUGGGUUUAAAGGGUGUGUAGGCGGAUUAUUAAGUCAGCGGUGAAAUCUCCAGGCUCAACCUGGAAACUGCCAUUGAUACUAUUAGUCUUGAAUAUUGUUGAGGUGGGCGGAACGGGUCAUGUAGCGGUGAAAUGCAUAGAUAUGACCCGGGACACCGAUUGCGAAGGCAGCCCACUAAGCAAUGAUUGACGCUGAGGCACGAAAGCGUGGGGAUCAAACA